GAUGAACGCUGGCGGCGUGCUUAACACAUGCAAGUCGAACGAAGCACUUUAUUUGAUUUCCUUCGGGACUGAUUAUUUUGUGACUGAGUGGCGGACGGGUGAGUAACGCGUGGGUAACCUGCCUUGUACAGGGGGAUAACAGUUGGAAACGGCUGCUAAUACCGCAUAAGCGCACAGCAUCGCAUGAUGCAGUGUGAAAAACUCCGGUGGUAUAAGAUGGACCCGCGUUGGAUUAGCUAGUUGGUGAGGUGACGGCCCACCAAGGCGACGAUCCAUAGCCGACCUGAGAGUGUGACCGGCCACAUUGGGACUGAGACACGGCCCAAACUCCUACGGGAGGCAGCAGUGGGGAAUAUUGCACAAUGGGCGAAAGCCUGAUGCAGCGACGCCGCGUGAGCGAAGAAGUAUUUCGGUAUGUAAAGCUCUAUCAGCAGGGAAGAUAAUGACGGUACCUGACUAAGAAGCACCGGCUAAAUACGUG
RNAcentral lists this ribosomal RNA (481 nucleotides) under uncultured bacterium. RNAcentral describes it as "partial 16S ribosomal RNA". It matches the Rfam family "Bacterial small subunit ribosomal RNA", at positions 28 to 507 of the family's 1533-position model. The record is from RNAcentral.